RNAcentral lists this transfer RNA (91 nucleotides) under Verrucomicrobiota bacterium. Its description in RNAcentral is "Verrucomicrobia bacterium tRNA-Ser". It matches the Rfam family "tRNA". From Rfam's summary of the family: Transfer RNA (tRNA) molecules are approximately 80 nucleotides in length. Their secondary structure includes four short double-helical elements and three loops (D, anti-codon, and T loops). Further hydrogen bonds mediate the characteristic L-shaped molecular structure. tRNAs have two regions of fundamental functional importance: the anti-codon, which is responsible for specific mRNA codon recognition, and the 3' end, to which the tRNAs corresponding amino acid is attached (by aminoacyl-tRNA synthetases). tRNAs cope with the degeneracy of the genetic code in two manners: having more than one tRNA (with a specific anti-codon) for a particular amino acid; and 'wobble' base-pairing, i.e. permitting non-standard base-pairing at the 3rd anti-codon position. Lineage: Bacteria; Pseudomonadati; Verrucomicrobiota. The record is from RNAcentral.
GGAGAGAUGGCUGAGUGGUCGAAAGCAACGGUUUGCUAAAUCGUCGUACCCCAAAAGGGUACCGGGGGUUCGAAUCCCCCUCUCUCCGCCA